RNAcentral lists this ribosomal RNA (420 nucleotides) under uncultured bacterium. RNAcentral describes it as "bacterial SSU rRNA". It matches the Rfam family "Bacterial small subunit ribosomal RNA", at positions 28 to 430 of the family's 1533-position model. The record is from RNAcentral.
GAUGAACGCUGGCGGCGUGCUUAACACAUGCAAGUCGAGCGAAGCACUUACCAUUGACUCUUCGGAAGAUUUGGUAAAUGACUGAGCGGCGGACGGGUGAGUAACGCGUGGGUAACCUGCCUCAUACAGGGGAAUAACAGUUAGAAAUGGCUGCUAAUGCCGCAUAAGCGCACAGUACCGCAUGGUACGGUGUGAAAAACCGAGGUGGUAUGAGAUGGACCCGCGUCUGAUUAGGUAGUUGGUGGGGUAACGGCCUACCAAGCCGACGAUCAGUAGCCGGCCUGAGAGGGUGAACGGCCACAUUGGGACUGAGACACGGCCCAGACUCCUACGGGAGGCAGCAGUGGGGAAUAUUGCACAAUGGGGGAAACCCUGAUGCAGCGACGCCGCGUGAAGGAAGAAGUAUCUCGGUAUGUAAAC